UCCUACGGGAGGCAGCAGUAGGGAAUAUUGGUCACUGGGUGGAAUCCUGAACCAGCCAUGCCGCGUGCAGGAAGAAGGCCUUCUGGGUUGUAAACUGCUUUAGUCAGGGGAUAAAAUUUCCCUGCGGGGGAAAUUGACGGUACCUGGAGAAUAAGCCCCGGCUAACUACGUGCCAGCAGCCGCGGUAAUACGUAGGUGGCAAGCGUUGUCCGGAUUUAUUGGGUUUAAAGGGUGCGUAGGCGGCUUUGUAAGUCAGUGGUGAAAUACUCGAGCUCAACCCGGGAGGUGCCAUUGAUACUGCAUGGCUAGAGUACAGAAGAGGUAGGCGGAAUUGACGGUGUAGCGGUGAAAUGCGUAGAUAUCGUCAAGAACACCAAUAGCGAAGGCAGCUUACUGGGCUGUAACUGACGCUGAGGCACGAAAG
RNAcentral lists this ribosomal RNA (424 nucleotides) under uncultured bacterium. RNAcentral describes it as "bacterial SSU rRNA". It matches the Rfam family "Bacterial small subunit ribosomal RNA", at positions 337 to 759 of the family's 1533-position model. The record is from RNAcentral.